Molecule: ribosomal RNA, 463 nt
Filed under: uncultured bacterium
Lineage: Bacteria
Description: partial 16S ribosomal RNA
Rfam family: Bacterial small subunit ribosomal RNA
Source: RNAcentral
GACGAACGCUGGCGGCGUGCUUAACACAUGCAAGUCGAACGGAAAGGCCUUUUCGGAGGUACUCGAGUGGCGAACGGGUGAGUAACACGUGGGUGAUCUGCCCUGCACUCUGGGAUAAGCCUGGGAAACUGGGUCUAAUACCGGAUAGGACCGCACUUUAGUGUGUGUGGUGGAAAGUUUUUUCGGUGUAGGAUGAGCCCGCGGCUUAUCAGCUUGUUGGUGGGGUAAUGGCCUACCAAGGCGGCGACGGGUAGCCGGACUGAGAGGUUGGUCGGCCACAUUGGGACUGAGAUACGGCCCAGACUCCUACGGGAGGCAGCAGUGGGGAAUAUUGCACAAUGGGCUCAAGCCUGAUGCAGCGACGCCGCGUGGGGGAUGACGGCCUUCGGGUUGUAAACUCCUUUCGCCAGGGACGAAGCGUUUUGUGACGGUACCUGGAGAAGAAGCACCGGCUAACUACGUG